Molecule: ribosomal RNA, 500 nt
Filed under: uncultured bacterium
Lineage: Bacteria
Description: partial 16S ribosomal RNA
Rfam family: Bacterial small subunit ribosomal RNA
Source: RNAcentral
AUUGAACGCUGGCGGAAUGCUUUACACAUGCAAGUCGAACGGCAGCACGGACUUCGGUCUGGUGGCGAGUGGCGAACGGGUGAGUAAUGUAUCGGAACGUGCCCAGUCGUGGGGGAUAACGUAGUGAAAAUUACGUUAAUACCGCAUACGAUCUAUGGAUGAAAGCGGGGGAUCGCAAGACCUCGCGCGAUUGGAGCGGCCGAUAUCAGAUUAGGUAGUUGGUGGGGUAAAGGCCCACCAAGCCAACGAUCUGUAGCUGGUCUGAGAGGACGACCAGCCACACUGGAACUGAGACACGGUCCAGACUCCUACGGGAGGCAGCAGUGGGGAAUUUUGGACAAUGGGCGAAAGCCUGAUCCAGCCAUUCCGCGUACAGGAUGAAGGCCCUCGGGUUGUAAACCGCUUUUGUACAGAACGAAAAGGUUUCUACUAAUACUAGGAGCUCAUGACGGUACUGUAAGAAUAAGCACCGGCUAACUACGUGCCAGCCGCCGCCGUAA